RNAcentral lists this ribosomal RNA (560 nucleotides) under Bacteroides sp. HGA0060. RNAcentral describes it as "bacterial SSU rRNA". It matches the Rfam family "Bacterial small subunit ribosomal RNA", at positions 70 to 622 of the family's 1533-position model. Lineage: Bacteria; Pseudomonadati; Bacteroidota; Bacteroidia; Bacteroidales; Bacteroidaceae. The record is from RNAcentral.
CAUUUUAGUUUGCUUGCAACUAAAGAUGGCGACCGGCGCACGGGUGAGUAACACGUAUCCAACCUGCCGAUAACUCGGGGAUAGCCUUUCGAAAGAAAGAUUAAUAUCCGAUGGUAUAUUAAAACCGCAUGGUUUUACUAUUAAAGAAUUUCGGUUAUCGAUGGGGAUGCGUUCCAUUAGUUUGUUGGCGGGGUAACGGCCCACCAAGACUACGAUGGAUAGGGGUUCUGAGAGGAAGGUCCCCCACAUUGGAACUGAGACACGGUCCAAACUCCUACGGGAGGCAGCAGUGAGGAAUAUUGGUCAAUGGACGAGAGUCUGAACCAGCCAAGUAGCGUGAAGGAUGACUGCCCUAUGGGUUGUAAACUUCUUUUAUAUGGGAAUAAAGUAUUCCACGUGUGGGAUUUUGUAUGUACCAUAUGAAUAAGGAUCGGCUAACUCCGUGCCAGCAGCCGCGGUAAUACGGAGGAUCCGAGCGUUAUCCGGAUUUAUUGGGUUUAAAGGGAGCGUAGGUGGAUUGUUAAGUCAGUUGUGAAAGUUUGCGGCUCAACCGUAAAAUU